AUGUUCCCACGUGGAGGAGGUCUCCUAGGUGUUACAAACGCGGCUAGGAAUGGCCCGCAGCCCCGCUCGCCGCGGCUCAGACAAUGCCCAUCCAUGAAAGAGACCUGGUCAUGCUCCGUGCCACCGGCUUGGCAAGGUUUAUUCCCGAUUCACCCCCGUGUACGGAGAGGAGAGCGCAGCCCAAGUACCUUCCCGGCAGUUCCUAAUUCCCUGCGGCCCGCCCACGAGGCACAGGGUGCGAUGGCCGGCCUCCUUCCCCUGCGGCUCGGCGCUGCCAGCAACUCAUGCCCGGAGGCUGGCCGGGCGUUCCGAACCCCCCUCGGGAGCUGUCGUGUUCGGCAUGACUCCGACUCCCGCCCCGCUAAAGGAGAGCCAAGAACCUGAGGGGAGGUGGUGAUGAUUCAUGGUGAAACCAGAAGUACUGGCCUGGAGAGGAGCAAUGUUGGGAUGGAGGAAGACCACUAAACCUCUACCUUUGGAAUCCUGAUUUUAGAUUGCAUGUUGACAGUGACUGAAGUGGAAAGACAUUAAUGAUGCACUGAUGGCAUAAAAAUGGAAGAUGUUAUUUAACAUCACACUGCAAUAAUUGGGUGACCUUAAAGGUGAAUGCAGUGGGAGAGGAAAAGAUUGCAGUAACUCUGAGCCACACAGCUCAGGAACUGAUAGCAGGAAUUUCUGUCAUGAGGAAAAAUAUCAUUGUCUGUAAAUGAGAAGGGAAAUCAGGUCAUAGGAUAAAAAUGAAUUUUCCUUCAUCUAGUCUGACCUUCAAAGUGUGUGGAAGGGAGAGGGAUGAGGGAGAAAGGUGGUGUGGUGCUGAUGGCACUCAGGAUCUCAAACUGGCUAAGAGCCUGGCCCCAGCCUGGAAUGGAAGCUUGUCCAUUCCAGGACCUGCAGGCUCAUUUGAAAGUGAUGUCUGACAGUGUGUGACUGCAAAGGGGCGCAGCCAAAGGCCUUAGCAUUCCUUCCUGCACCCAGCAUGCAGGCCUGCAGACAGCAGCAGGGACAUCUCUCCCUGGCACUGACACUCACACAGCCUGGUGCUGCCCCAGAGCUGAGUCCUCUAAGCUCAGGGAAAAAGAAUAUGGGAUUUCUUCCCAUUCUUGUGCUAUCCACUUGUUCCCUUUCCUCACCCUCCACACCUUCUUGUUGAAACUAACACCUCUGCUCCCGAGAGAACAGCAGCCUGGCACUCCAGCGGAUGAAGCUUUGACUCUUUCCCCACCCUCCUUUUUUUUUCCCCUCUUGACAGUCUGCUUUGACCUGAGUGACAUCCUCUCUUUGCUUUCAGUCCCUGAUUUUCUGCACUUGGGGACAGACUUUGAGCAGGCAGUAAGUGUUGAGGGCGUGCAGACAGCACGGGGGGGCUGCUGUGCCCCAGAGCCUGCCAUUCAGGCAGAUGGUGGAGGGGGCUGAUGUGAAUAGCUCCUGUCAGUCUCACAGAGAGAACUUUACAAUUGUGCUACGUGUUGGACUGCAUGUGACUAAUGCCAUUCUUCUGCAGGCUGCAGGCAGGACACAGCUGUUUCUUUAAGGAGAAUUUUGUUUUUCUGGGCAGAAAAAGAAGCACCCAUGACAAUAUUGUAACCAUGUAUCCAAUAUUAUGCUCCAUAAUUAGGUGUGAUCAAAGCCCAUCCUGCCUUUCUCUGUCUCGCUUUCUGGUAAAUAAGAUAAUGCUUUUUUAAAAAGCGUGGCCUUGGUUUGGUCCUUCUGAAGGUUUAAAUUCUGUCCCCCCACAUGGCAGGUAUGCACUGAAAAAAAGCAACAGGGCCAAAUAUAGGUUUCUUUACAUAAUUCUGGAAUAAAUAAGUAUUUCAAGAGCA
Molecule: long non-coding RNA, 1820 nt
Organism: Zonotrichia albicollis (white-throated sparrow)
Lineage: Eukaryota; Metazoa; Chordata; Aves; Passeriformes; Passerellidae
Source: Ensembl